RNAcentral lists this ribosomal RNA (503 nucleotides) under uncultured bacterium. RNAcentral's name for it is "partial 16S ribosomal RNA". It matches the Rfam family "Bacterial small subunit ribosomal RNA", at positions 30 to 523 of the family's 1533-position model. The record is from RNAcentral.
AUUGAACGCUGGCGGCAGGCUUAACACAUGCAAGGCGAGCGGGGUGAUGGUGCUUGCACUAUCACUUAGCGGCGGACGGGUGAGUAAUGCUUAGGAAUCUGCCUAUUAGUGGGGGACAACAUCUCGAAAGGGAUGCUAAUACCGCAUACGUCCUACGGGAGAAAGCAGGGGAUCGCUUGUGACCUUGCGCUAAUAGAUGAGCCUAAGUCGGAUUAGCUAGUUGGUGGGGUAAAGGCCUACCAAGGCGACGAUCUGUAGCGGGUCUGAGAGGAUGAUCCGACAGAAUGGGACUGAGACACGGCCCAGACUCCGACGGGAGGCAGCAGUGGGGAAUAUUGGACAAUGGGGGGAACCCUGAUCUAGCCAUGCCGCGUGUGUGAAGAAGGCCUUAUGGUUGUGAAGCACUUUAAGCGAGGAGGAGGCUCUUUUGGUUAAUACCCAAGAUGAGUGGACGUUACUCGCAGAAUAAGCACCGGCUAACUCUGUGCCAGCCGCCGCGGUAA